Long non-coding RNA from Schistocerca nitens (vagrant locust), 472 nucleotides. RefSeq lists it as uncharacterized. NCBI's taxonomy places the organism in Eukaryota, Metazoa, Arthropoda, Insecta, Orthoptera, Acrididae. The record is from RefSeq and is a predicted model, not a curated record. The transcript has 4 exons.
AGUUCUCAAAGCUCUGUGCAUUUGAUAUUCAAAUCUACAGAAAAUCGUCAGCUAGGAACAAAGUGAAACGGAAAAAGACCUGAUUUACGACUAUUAUGUGGUUGAACCAGGCUCACACUAUCAGCAUCCCGAAGACACUUGAAUGGGUUCAAGGUUUCUUCCCUGUAACUUUAUGAAAAGAAGACAAGAUGAUUAGGUAGCAAAUUUGGAAAAAUAGAAAGGAUAGUCAGCAAUCAUAACCAUAACAGUACAGAAUGGAACAUAUUAAUGAAAAGACAACAAUCAAAAGAAUUUUGCAGUAUUCUGGGGCUUUCUACCAACACUUGCUGAAGGCACAUGGACAAGAGAGUUGUCAAGCCAGAAGGGGUGCACAAAACAGAAAAAAUGCCAAGAAGUGUGAGAAGAUUAAGGUAACAUGUUAAAUGAAUGUUACUACUUACUAAGGCCAUGAAUUGCAUAUGUUGUCCUCCUA